RNAcentral lists this transfer RNA (68 nucleotides) under Oopsacas minuta. Its description in RNAcentral is "tRNA-Val". Lineage: Eukaryota; Metazoa; Porifera; Hexactinellida; Lyssacinosida; Leucopsacidae. The record is from RNAcentral.
UCAAAAAUAAUUUAAUAAAAAUCUCGUUUUUACAAAACAAUAAAUAAGGGCCCGUCCCUUUUUUUGAA